UACGGGGGGGGCAAGCGUUGUUCGGAAUUACUGGGCGUAAAGGGCUUGUAGGCGGCCCACUAAGUCAGACGUGAAAUCCCUCGGCUUAACCGGGGAACUGCGUCUGAUACUGGAUGGCUUGAGUUCGGGAGAGGGAUGCGGAAUUCCAGGUGUAGCGGUGAAAUGCGCAGAUAUCAGGAAGAACACCCGUGGCGAAGGCGGCUCUCUGGAACGCAACUGACGCUGAGACGCGAAAGCGUGGGGAGCAAACAGG
RNAcentral lists this ribosomal RNA (253 nucleotides) under uncultured bacterium. Its description in RNAcentral is "partial 16S ribosomal RNA". It matches the Rfam family "Bacterial small subunit ribosomal RNA", at positions 524 to 776 of the family's 1533-position model. The record is from RNAcentral.